GAGUGAAACUCAAAGGAAUUGACGGGGACCCGCACAAGUAGCGGAGCAUGUGGUUUAAUUCGAAGCAACGCGAAGAACCUUACCUAAGCUUGACAUCCCAAUGACAUCUCCUUAAUCGGAGAGUUCCCUUCGGGGACAUUGGUGACAGGUGGUGCAUGGUUGUCGUCAGCUCGUGUCGUGAGAUGUUGGGUUAAGUCCCGCAACGAGCGCAACCCUUGUCUUUAGUUGCCAUCAUUAAGUUGGGCACUCUAGAGAGACUGCCAGGGAUAACCUGGAGGAAGGUGGGGAUGACGUCAAAUCAUCAUGCCCCUUAUGCUUAGGGCUACACACGUGCUACAAUGGGUAGUACAGAGGGUUGCCAAGCCGUAAGGUGGAGCUAAUCCCUUAAAGCUACUCUCAGUUCGGAUUGUAGGCUGAAACGCGCCUACAUGAAGCUGGAGUUACUAGUAAUCGCAGAUCAGAAUGCUGCGGUGAAUGCGUUCCCGGGUCUUGUACACACCGCCCGUCACACCACGGGAGUUGGAGACGCCCGAAGCCGAUUAUCUAAC
RNAcentral lists this ribosomal RNA (548 nucleotides) under Clostridioides difficile. RNAcentral's name for it is "bacterial SSU rRNA". It matches the Rfam family "Bacterial small subunit ribosomal RNA", at positions 892 to 1439 of the family's 1533-position model. The record is from RNAcentral. Lineage: Bacteria; Bacillati; Bacillota; Clostridia; Peptostreptococcales; Peptostreptococcaceae.